This 433-nucleotide ribosomal RNA is filed under the name uncultured bacterium. RNAcentral describes it as "partial 16S ribosomal RNA". It matches the Rfam family "Bacterial small subunit ribosomal RNA", at positions 29 to 507 of the family's 1533-position model. The record is from RNAcentral.
AACGAACGCUGGCGGCAUGCCUAACACAUGCAAGUCGAACGAGACCUUCGGGUCUAGUGGCGCACGGGUGCGUUACGCGUGGGAACCUGCCCUUAGGUUCGGAAUAACUCCCCGAAAGGGGUGCUAAUACCGGAUAAUGUCUUCGGACCAAAGAUUUAUCGCCUUUGGAUGGGCCCGCGUUGGAUUAGCUAGUUGGUAGGGUAAAAGCCUACCAAGGCGACGAUCCAUAGCUGGUCUGAGAGGAUGGUCAGCCACACUGGGACUGAGACACGGCCCAGACUCCUACGGGAGGCAGCAGUGGGGAAUAUUGGACAAUGGGCGAAAGCCUGAUCCAGCAAUGCCGCGUGAGUGAUGAAGGCCUUAGGGUUGUAAAGCUCUUUUACCCGGGAUGAUAAUGACAGUACCGGGAGAAUAAGCUCCGGCUAACUCCGUG